RNAcentral lists this ribosomal RNA (492 nucleotides) under uncultured bacterium. RNAcentral's name for it is "partial 16S ribosomal RNA". It matches the Rfam family "Bacterial small subunit ribosomal RNA", at positions 29 to 507 of the family's 1533-position model. The record is from RNAcentral.
AGUGAACGCUGGCGGUAGGCCUAACACAUGCAAGUCGAACGGCAGCACAGUAAGAGCUUGCUCUUACGGGUGGCGAGUGGCGGACGGGUGAGGAAUACAUCGGAAUCUACUUUUUCGUGGGGGAUAACGUAGGGAAACUUACGCUAAUACCGCAUACGACCUACGGGUGAAAGCAGGGGAUCUUCGGACCUUGCGCGAUUGAAUGAGCCGAUGUCGGAUUAGCUAGUUGGCGGGGUAAAGGCCCACCAAGGCGACGAUCCGUAGCUGGUCUGAGAGGAUGAUCAGCCACACUGGAACUGAGACACGGUCCAGACCCCUGCGGGAGGCAGCAGUGGGGAAUAUUGGACAAUGGGCGCAAGCCUGAUCCAGCCAUACCGCGUGGGUGAAGAAGGCCUUCGGGUUGUAAAGCCCUUUUGUUGGGAAAGAAAAGCAGCAGGUUAAUACCCCGCUGUUCUGACGGUACCCAAAGAAUAAGCACCGGCUAACUUCGUG